GAAAAUCCGUCGACUUUAAAAAUCGUGAGGGUUCAAGUCCC
RNAcentral lists this transfer RNA (41 nucleotides) under Nemesia strumosa. RNAcentral describes it as "partial tRNA-Leu". Lineage: Eukaryota; Viridiplantae; Streptophyta; Magnoliopsida; Lamiales; Scrophulariaceae. RNAcentral also lists the same sequence under 2 other names. The record is from RNAcentral.